RNAcentral lists this long non-coding RNA (889 nucleotides) under Equus caballus (horse). Its description in RNAcentral is "lncRNA (ENSECAG00000053802.1)". Lineage: Eukaryota; Metazoa; Chordata; Mammalia; Perissodactyla; Equidae. The record is from RNAcentral.
AAAUCAACCAGUCCCCUGGAGAUGGCAGUAGCAGGCAAGGAUGGAGAUCUUUUGCCAACCAGCCGCAGCCAGAACUGCCGGCUCCUGCUUCGGAUCUGAGUUUGUGCAGACAGGCAGCCAUGAUGGAUCCUUGUGGCUGCAGAGGGCUGAUUUUGCUGAUGGUUGUUGCAGCGAAAUUCCGUCUUCUCCCUGUCUGAAGUUUAGUUCUCAAGUGCUGCCUUAAGUCCUUUCUGAACAAAGUCUUGUUUCCAUGGCACUAGAGCUACCUGGAAGUCACAAAAUGGAAGCACCUGGAUCCCGGAGUCAUCACUUGCAAGACAAUGGUCCAGGAGAGCUGCCCAAACAAGAAUGUCUGCACAGCACUUUGAAGGAGGAAGAAAGAAGCCUUAUUGCGUGAAGCCCCUGAGGUUACCCGCUCUCACGAAUGCAUUUGCCUUUGCAGUUUUACAGCUCCCUUUAAUAGAGACCUACCAAGACUAUGUAAAGCUGUUCUGUUUAGCCCCAGUCUUGACAGUUCUGCUAUCUCCCAUCAUUCCUACCUCUGGGUCUCAAAGUAGGUGCCGCCCUUUGACUCACCAAGCUCUUCAGCUUGUUCUCUACUUUCCUGGACAUCCUUCCCAGGAGAAGGAAGGCAACCCUGACCCCAUUUCUUUGUGGAAGAAUCUUAAUCUCAGUGUUUGCUAAUCCACUCUUGGGCUGCAAAGGACUCCUCAGAAUUCUUCCCAGAAAGCUUAGGACUCAUAUAGAAAUAAAACAUCCAAUAGGUUGUUGUGACAUUUCUGGGAAUUAAGUCAGUAUGCAUUAAGUGUGAUCCUAUGCUACCCACUUAUUGUUCUUUAUUUUACAGUAAUUAAUUGAGUGCAUGGUCAUUGUUUUUCAUCACUACCAG